This 252-nucleotide ribosomal RNA is filed under the name uncultured bacterium. RNAcentral describes it as "partial 16S ribosomal RNA". It matches the Rfam family "Bacterial small subunit ribosomal RNA", at positions 525 to 776 of the family's 1533-position model. The record is from RNAcentral.
ACGAAGGUCCCAAGCGUUGUUCGGAAUUACUGGGCGUAAAGCGUGUGUAGGCGGUUGGGUAAGUCAGAUGUGAAAUCCCGGGGCUCAACCUCGGAACUGCAUCCGAUACUGCCUGACUAGAGGACUGGAGGGGAGUCUGGAAUUCUCGGUGUAGCAGUGAAAUGCGUAGAUAUCGAGAGGAACACUAGUGGCGAAGGCGAGACUCUGGACAGAUCCUGACGCUGAGACACGAAGGCUAGGGUAGCGAACGGG